Molecule: unclassified non-coding RNA, 247 nt
Filed under: Hevea brasiliensis (rubber tree)
Lineage: Eukaryota; Viridiplantae; Streptophyta; Magnoliopsida; Malpighiales; Euphorbiaceae
Source: RNAcentral
CAUUCAUUAGAAAAAAGAACAGAACUAAUAGAAGGUGAAGAGUUGGGGAGAGUUUCUGAAUUUGAACCUCAAGACCAAGUUAAGGAAGAAGAGAAAUCAGACAUUGAUGCUAUCAGAGAUGAUGGAAUUCCAAAAGCAGAGAAUCACCCAACAACAGAGCUCAAUGAAAAGAUUGAGCUUNNNNNNAGAUCCAAAACAAGAGCAUCGAUGAGUUAAAUGCAACUCAUUCACUGAAACAUGAAACCGG